GGGUUCGUCAGAUUUGGAACUUUGAUUUACUGAUCUUGAAUCUCAUCUUAGAAGUGAAGAACAACAUCGAAAAAAAAAAGAGAUUCAUCAACCAAUUCCAACAAUUCGGGUAAGUUUCAUCUCUUCUGAUUCUUAAUUCGAUCUUUUUUCAGAUGGUAUUGGAUUAUGUUCAAAAAUAUUUCAAAAAUUUAUUUUAGGGUUUCAAAAACCAAACAACAUUGAAUUCACUUCGAAUUCCUGAUUGGAUUUUUAAAUUGAUUUUUUUUUCUAGGGUUCGUGUUUCUCACUACUUCACUUCAUAUGUAGUUACUGUUUUUCUCUCUUUAUAAAUUGAUUUUUUUUUAGUACCCUUUCCUCAAUUUCUAAUGUCUCUCUGUGUUGUUAAUCGAGAGGAGGAGGUAUUACAGAGAAUGGAUGUAUCAAAGUGAAGUCACUGAAGUAAAGAAGUUACAAGGGAACAUGAGAUGUUUUAGAAAUCAGUAAGAAGAGGGAACAUGAGAUGUUUUCUGUAAUGGAAUUUGGAAAUCAGUAUAAAGUUGGAUUUCGGUGGUUUCCUGUGUCUGUAAUAAGACAAGAACUAGCUGCUCGGAAGGAAUUUGAUGGUGGACAAAUGGGUGAUUGUGAAAUAUUCAAUGGGUUCCAGUUUCAUGGAUUUGGUCAUCUUUGUGUUAAGUAAGGCUGGGCUUGCGAAACUCAUCAGACAUGCCAGGGAGACCACUGUUCAUGUAACAAAAAUAACAACAAUAGUUUUGUUGGUCAUGGAGACUCCAUAAACGAGAUCAGGACACAAGCAUUGAAACAUUCACUUGUGGUGUCUGCUAGUAAAGUAAAGUGUCAUGAUGUUGCAGGUGGUGGUUCCAUUCACAGGGAAGUUUAGUGAUGAUGUGCAGCAAUGGAGAUGAAAUUGGUAAAAGGAUUUGAUGGUUGAUUUGAUUGAAGAAGCAGUGGGUUCAGUGGAGAUGAAGAAAUUUUGAUGGUUUGUUGUUGUACUAUGGGGUUGCGAUGGAUGCAGUGGAACUGGUGAUGCAGAUGCAGUUGAAGGUGGUUGUGAUGAUGAAAGAAGAGCAGUGCAUCGGGACUGGGUUUGAAGUAAAGAUGCAGUUGUAAUAGUGGAGAGUUGUGGAGAGGUACCAUGCAAUUCACAGAGAUGUUUACAACUGGUUUGACAUAAGUUUUGAUGAGUUUAGACGCCCUUCUAGUCCCCAACAGAUUGAAGUUUGCCAAGCAAUUUUCAAAAAACUGAUGGAGAACAACUGGCUUUCUGAAAAUACAAUGCAGCAGGUCGUGCAUUUACAGGUCAGUGGUCCUUCAAAGCCAUUGAGUGAGCUUGAUGAUCCAGCUUGGCGACUAGCGUUUGGGUAGUACAUCUGGGAUCUAUUCAGUUCAUGCAAUCAUUAGGUCUCUUAGCAUCGUCAAAUUUUGUAAGUUCUAUGCAGGCAGUUAGUAAGUUUUCAUGUGUUCCCGCUUAGAAAUUUGAUACUUAGAAAAAAUUGGUUCUUAGAAAAAUUUCAGUCCUUUUUUAUAUGAAUCUGAUAUGAAUGGAUUGAAUAUGAAAUGAACUGAUUGAAGAACAUAUUAUUGAAUGUGGAUGAUGAAUGCAUGAAAGGUGUAUA
This is a long non-coding RNA of Papaver somniferum (opium poppy), 1613 nucleotides long. RefSeq lists it as uncharacterized. The transcript is spliced from 6 exons. The record is from RefSeq and is a predicted model, not a curated record. Lineage: Eukaryota; Viridiplantae; Streptophyta; Magnoliopsida; Ranunculales; Papaveraceae.